GACGAACGCUGGCGGCGUGCCUAAUACAUGCAAGUAGAACGCUGAAGGAGGAGCUUGCUUCUCUGGAUGAGUUGCGAACGGGUGAGUAACGCGUAGGUAACCUGCCUGGUAGCGGGGGAUAACUAUUGGAAACGAUAGCUAAUACCGCAUAAGAGUAGAUGUUGCAUGACAUUUGCUUAAAAGGUGCAAUUGCAUCACUACCAGAUGGACCUGCGUUGUCUUAGCUAGUUGGUGGGGUAACGGCUCACCAAGGCGACGAUACAUAGCCGACCUGAGAGGGUGAUCGGCCACACUGGGACUGAGACACGGCCCAGACUCCUACGGGAGGCAGCAGUAGGGAAUCUUCGGCAAUGGACGGAAGUCUGACCGAGCAACGCCGCGUGAGUGAAGAAGGUUUUCGGAUCGUAAAGCUCUGUUGUAAGAGAAGAACGAGUGUGAGAGUGGAAAGUUCACACUGUGACGGUAUCUUACCAGAAAGAGACGGCUAACUACGUG
Molecule: ribosomal RNA, 495 nt
Filed under: uncultured bacterium
Lineage: Bacteria
Description: partial 16S ribosomal RNA
Rfam family: Bacterial small subunit ribosomal RNA
Source: RNAcentral